GCGAGAGCUCCGGGCAGACCGCCGGGGAGAGUUGCGCGCAGGCGCGGUCUCGCGUUCUUUCCGCGAUCGGCCGCAUGUCUGGGAAGCAUGGGGCCACGGUGGGGUGCAGCACCUCUGAGCAGCCUUACAGGCCUUGGGUGAUGCCUUUCUCUAGCUUCUGGGGAGAUGAGAAGCAGAGCUGCAGGUUGCAGUUUAAAAGUAACGGAACCGCAAAAUGAGAAAAGAUGGAUGCAAGCAGGACCUGGGGGUGAUCACCAGAAAGCAGAGAUGGCGUGAUGUCCCGGCACAUCCACCUCAUAAGUUGUUCGAAGUUAAGUUGAACUAUCCAUGGUAUUGGCUGUGGACUUGUGAAACCCAUCAUCUUAAAAUAUUGACCUUAAGAAUUUUUGUGAUGAAAUUUCUGUAAAUGGUGCAGUCUCUGCUUCAGUUGGAAAAGGACCCUCUAGCAGCCACACUGUGGCAGGUACCAUGGACCUGAACCUCAAGUGGAAUCUCUCAUGUAAGCAGAGAAGUCCUGCUGCACAUGCUUGGGUGAAGGGUGUCUACUCAGCGAGGUUACUAACUGUAAACUGCUUUACCAGAAG
This is an RNA transcript of Ictidomys tridecemlineatus (thirteen-lined ground squirrel), 584 nucleotides long. It is a transcript of the gene named photoreceptor disc component, with no coding region annotated. The record is from RefSeq and is a predicted model, not a curated record. Lineage: Eukaryota; Metazoa; Chordata; Mammalia; Rodentia; Sciuridae.